ACUUUUGGUUGGGUCUCUUUCUCUUUCUCUGCCACUGCAAAAAUUAAAGGCGAUGGAGAGCCAGAGCCAGAGCUCGUGCUUAUCGUACGAGAAGCUGAACGGGGUGGCCAGCUGGCUUGGGACCCACGUGGCAUCGGCCUUCUUCGCAUCGCUGGAGCGGUGCUCCUGCAUCAACCUCUCCACCUCCGACGACCACGAAAUGAACCCAGAAGAAGCUCACGACCGACCCCUCAUGCUCUUCGCCUCUCGCUCCGUCAAUCUCAGCGACCACCGUCCUCACUACCCUUCUUCCUCCUCCUCGUCGGCCCCAAACGACGUCGUCAAUCUCCCGGUCUGAUGAGGGACAGACACGUCAGCAUCCUCGAUGGGAUCGGAAAAUUGGGUUCAUUUUGUUCUCUCUAGGUUUUUUUUUCUUUUGAAAUUUUGGGUUUUGGAUUUAUUUCCAUUCAAUUUGUGAUGUUUUCAGGUCGUGAAAGUCGAAAUUGAAUCGGGAAAAUUGGGGGUUGGAUUUGUUAUCUGUGUAUGAUUUGAUUGAUUAUAUGCUUUUUACCCUGGAUGUGAUGUGUUGCUGUUUGUAUUGUUGCCUGUAACAAUAUAUAUUUUUUAAGUGUAUUAUAUAUAGUUAAAGUUAAUGGGAAAAUGAAGGUCUCCUCUCUCUGAUUUCUGUGCAAUGGGUGUUGUUUGAU
RNAcentral lists this long non-coding RNA (686 nucleotides) under Prunus dulcis (almond). Its description in RNAcentral is "sRNA ncRNA". The record is from RNAcentral. Lineage: Eukaryota; Viridiplantae; Streptophyta; Magnoliopsida; Rosales; Rosaceae.